CAAUGAGAUUAUUUCUGUCUGCAGAGCAGAAAUGUUUGAGGAAGUAAAAUCCCAAUCAGCUUGAUGCUGAGGAGAAGGGCUGUGCAGCAGAGAGGCUGUUUAGUUUCUUCAUUCUACUGCAGUGGAAGAACAUUGAUCAUCUGCUGUCUGUUUGGUUUCAACAACUCCAAAGACAUGUUGCUUUACCUCUUUAUACUUUUAUCUCACUUUAUAGCCAUGGGUUCCAUGAACAGCAUAAAGCCAGAAAAUACUGAAGAAUGUGUUGCAGAGGGAGGAAACAUCAACCUGACCUGUAAAUAUGAGGGUUCUAUCAGCAAUAUCCAGUGGUACCGACAAUACCAGAGAUCCAGACCAGAGUUCCUGCUCUACAUCACAGAGGACGGAUCGAUUUAUCCAACUGUUUCUGAUUUCUCAGUUCACAUUAACAAAACAGAGAAACGUGUUGAUCUGCAGAUCUCCUCUGCUGCAGUGACAGACUCUGCUGUGUACUACUGUGCUGUGAGGCCCACAGUGACAGGAAACCCACAGUCUCUAUACAAAAACCUGACAGCUCCUCACUGAACAUUUACACACUUCAACUACUCUUUGUGUUGAA
Thunnus maccoyii (southern bluefin tuna) is the source of this 595-nucleotide non-coding RNA. NCBI's taxonomy places the organism in Eukaryota, Metazoa, Chordata, Actinopteri, Scombriformes, Scombridae. The record is from the annotation of a RefSeq genome assembly.